RNAcentral lists this ribosomal RNA (70 nucleotides) under Symbiodinium sp. C42a/C33a mixed library. RNAcentral describes it as "partial 5.8S ribosomal RNA". The record is from RNAcentral. Lineage: Eukaryota; Dinophyceae; Suessiales; Symbiodiniaceae.
AAUCAAUGGCCUCCUGAACGUGCGUUGCACUCUCGGGAUUUUCUGAGAGCAUGUCUGCUUCAGUGCUUAC